Molecule: microRNA precursor, 125 nt
Organism: Brassica oleracea var. oleracea
Lineage: Eukaryota; Viridiplantae; Streptophyta; Magnoliopsida; Brassicales; Brassicaceae
Rfam family: MIR9563 microRNA precursor family
Source: Rfam
GAAAUAUAAAAAUCCGUCUCUUAAUUUUUAUCUAAAAAAAUUAAGAACCGGUUCUUAAAUAAGAGUUUUAAGAACCGGUUCUUAACUUUUUUAGUUAAAAGUUAAGAGACGGGUUCUUAUAUUCC